This 453-nucleotide ribosomal RNA is filed under the name uncultured Porphyromonadaceae bacterium. Its description in RNAcentral is "partial 16S ribosomal RNA". It matches the Rfam family "Bacterial small subunit ribosomal RNA", at positions 341 to 792 of the family's 1533-position model. The record is from RNAcentral. Lineage: Bacteria; Pseudomonadati; Bacteroidota; Bacteroidia; Bacteroidales; Porphyromonadaceae.
ACGGAAGGCAGCAGUGAGGAAUAUUGGUCAAUGGGCGGAAGCCUGAACCAGCCAAGUCGCGUGAAGGAUGAAGGUAUUAUGUAUUGUAAACUUCUUUAGACGUAGAGAAAUAAGGAGGUCGUGACCUCUGAUGCUAGUAUACGUAGAAUAAGGAUCGGCUAACUCCGUGCCAGCAGCCGCGGUAAUACGGAGGAUCCGAGCGUUAUCCGGAUUUAUUGGGUUUAAAGGGUGCGCAGGCGGUCUUUUAAGUCAGUGGUUAAAUCGUGGAGCUUAACUCCAUCCCGCCAUUGAUACUGGAGGACUUGAUUACGGUUGAGGUUGGCGGAAUUCGCCGUGUAGCGGUGAAAUGCAUAGAUAUGGCGAAGAACUCCGAUUGCGUAGGCAGCUGACCAAGCCGUAAAUGACGCUCAUGCACGAAAGUGCGGGGAUCGAACAGGAUUAGAUACCCUGGUA